This 253-nucleotide ribosomal RNA is filed under the name uncultured bacterium. RNAcentral's name for it is "partial 16S ribosomal RNA". It matches the Rfam family "Bacterial small subunit ribosomal RNA", at positions 524 to 776 of the family's 1533-position model. The record is from RNAcentral.
CACGUAGGGCGCAAGCGUUGUCCGGAAUUAUUGGGCGUAAAGAGCUCGUAGGCGGUCUGUUGCGUCUGCUGUGAAAACUCGGGGCUUAACCCCGAGCCUGCAGUGGAUACGGGCAGACUAGAGGUAGGUAGGGGAGAAUGGAAUUCCCGGUGUAGCGGUGAAAUGCGCAGAUAUCGGGAGGAACACCGGUGGCGAAGGCGGCUACCUGGACAGAAACUGACGCUGAGGCGCGAAAGCGAGGGGAGCAAACAGG